RNAcentral lists this ribosomal RNA (484 nucleotides) under uncultured bacterium. RNAcentral describes it as "partial 16S ribosomal RNA". It matches the Rfam family "Bacterial small subunit ribosomal RNA", at positions 30 to 507 of the family's 1533-position model. The record is from RNAcentral.
AUUGAACGCUGGCGGCAGGCCUAACACAUGCAAGUCGAGCGGAUGAAGGGAGCUUGCUCCUGUAUUCAGCUGCGGACGGGUGAGUAAUUCCUAGGAAUCUGCCUGGUAUUGGGGGAUAACGUCCGUAAACGGGCGCUAAUACCGCAUACGUCCUGAGGUAGAAAGGGGGGGAUCUUCGGACCUCACGCUAUCAGAUGAGCCUAGGUCGGAUUAGCUAGUUGGUGGGGUAAAGGCCUACCAAGGCGACGAUCCGUAACUGGUCUGAGAGGAUGAUCAGUCACACUGGAACUGAGACACGGUCCAGACUCCUACGGGAGGCAGCAGUGGGGAAUAUUGGACAAUGGGCGAAAGCCUGAUCCAGCCAUGCCGCGUGUGUGAAGAAGGUCUUCGGAUUGUAAAGCACUUUAAGUUGGGAGGAAGGGCAGUAAGUUAAUACCUUGCUGUUUUGACGUUACCAACAGAAUAAGCACCGGCUAACUUCGUG